GUCCCCGGCCAUGCCACCCUGAAAGCACCCCAGCUCAUCUGAUCAUGGCAGCUAAGCAGGGUCGGGUCUGCUUAGUACUCAGAUGGGAAAAGUGAAAAACACUGUCAAGUUUCUGAAAAGUGUUGACU
Molecule: ribosomal RNA, 128 nt
Filed under: Castor canadensis (American beaver)
Lineage: Eukaryota; Metazoa; Chordata; Mammalia; Rodentia; Castoridae
Source: RNAcentral